This 497-nucleotide ribosomal RNA is filed under the name uncultured bacterium. Its description in RNAcentral is "partial 16S ribosomal RNA". It matches the Rfam family "Bacterial small subunit ribosomal RNA", at positions 28 to 507 of the family's 1533-position model. The record is from RNAcentral.
GAUGAACGCUGGCGGCGUGCCUAAUACAUGCAAGUCGAGCGAACGGACGAGAAGCUUGCUUCUCUGAUGUUAGCGGCGGACGGGUGAGUAACACGUGGAUAACCUACCUAUAAGACUGGGAUAACUUCGGGAAACCGGAGCUAAUACCGGAUAAUAUUUUGAACCGCAUGGUUCAAAAGUGAAAGACGGUCUUGCUGUCACUUAUAGAUGGAUCCGCGCUGCAUUAGCUAGUUGGUAAGGUAACGGCUUACCAAGGCAACGAUGCAUAGCCGACCUGAGAGGGGGAACGGCCCCACUGGAACUGAGACACGGUCCAGACUCCUACGGGAGGCAGCAGUAGGGAAUCUUCCGCAAUGGGAGAAAGCCUGACGGAGCAACGCCGCGUGAGUGAUGAAGGUCUUCGGAUCGUAAAACUCUGUUAUUAGGGAAGAACAUAUGUGUAAGUAACUGUGCACAUCUUGACGGUACCUAAUCAGAAAGCCACAGCUAACUACGUG